UUUCCUGGUUCAGUCCCUGGAAGCUGGGAGAAGCUGGGAGCAUAGACCCGGCCGUGUAGUAUGAGCAGCACCUUGGGAGGCUGAGGCAGGAGGAU
RNAcentral lists this microRNA precursor (95 nucleotides) under Octodon degus (degu). RNAcentral describes it as "miRNA (ENSODEG00000022394.1)". Lineage: Eukaryota; Metazoa; Chordata; Mammalia; Rodentia; Octodontidae. The record is from RNAcentral.